This 65-nucleotide transfer RNA is filed under the name Dipodomys ordii (Ord's kangaroo rat). It matches the Rfam family "tRNA". From Rfam's summary of the family: Transfer RNA (tRNA) molecules are approximately 80 nucleotides in length. Their secondary structure includes four short double-helical elements and three loops (D, anti-codon, and T loops). Lineage: Eukaryota; Metazoa; Chordata; Mammalia; Rodentia; Heteromyidae. The record is from Rfam by way of RNAcentral.
GGUGGCUCAGUGGUAGAGCACUUGCCUUGCAUGCAUGAAACCCUAGGUUCAAUUCCUCAGCACCA